This 253-nucleotide ribosomal RNA is filed under the name uncultured bacterium. Its description in RNAcentral is "partial 16S ribosomal RNA". It matches the Rfam family "Bacterial small subunit ribosomal RNA", at positions 524 to 776 of the family's 1533-position model. The record is from RNAcentral.
UACGGGGGGGGCAAGCGUUGUUCGGAAUUACUGGGCGUAAAGGGCUCGUAGGCGGCCAACUAAGUCAGACGUGAAAUCCCUCGGCUUAACCGGGGAACUGCGUCUGAUACUGGUUGGCUUGAAUCCGGGAGAGGGAUGUGGAAUUCCAGGUGUAGCGGUGAAAUGCGUAGAUAUCUGGAGGAAUACCGGUGGCGAAGGCGGCAUCCUGGACCGGCAUUGACGCUGAUGAGCGAAAGCUAGGGGAGCAAACGGG